AUUCAGGAGUAUAUAUUUGCUCCAAGAGUAGAUGAUUGCGUUUCACAUAGAACACCUUAAUAUAAUUCUAGAUCAGCAUCAGGUAUAGCUAUGUCAUUAAUUGUUUUGCUUCACAACAACAAUGUUACAGGCUCAAUUCUACAAUGUGUUAGCCUUGAAUUGACAAAUGCCUCUUAAGUGGAUGGUGCCUGUGCAGAAGCCCAUUAUAUGUACACACACACACACACACACGUCAAAAUCAUAUAUCAAACACAGACCUGGUAGUGUGGUUGGAGAAGCUUACUUUACAUCCACAUAGUUUUGGGUUCAGUUACCCUGCAUGGCAACUUGAGCAGGUGUCUUCUGCUCUGGUCCCAAGCUAACCAGGGCCUUGUGAGUGAAUUUGGUGAGUGAAACUGAAAGGAGACCUAUUUGCGAUCUCCUAUGAAAACUUGUUCAGACUAGAGAAAAAUAUUACUUUGCUUGGAAGGAAGUGAGAGUUGUCAACAAGAAAAGCUAAGAAAAAUCAGCCUCAAUGAAUUAUGUUUGACCCAGGCAUGCAUGAUAUUGGAGUGGUCGUCUAUGCCUUUCAUGAAGAGUAUUUAAUCAUUGAAGCUAAUGAUUGUUCUUUUUGCUAUUUUAAUUAGAUUCUCUGAUAUUUAAGGGUGAAAGAGAAGAAGUUAUCAUCAGACUGGGGACAUGACUUAAAUGCUUAAAACAAAAUGAGCUUUGCUAAAGUCACUCAAGAACCAGGUGUUGGUGUUAAAGUGGAAUAAGUAUACCAAGCAAGAACUCAAAAUGCAAAGAACUGGAACAAAUGCACUGCUUCUUGCUGCAAUAACCCCUAGGCUGAAGUUUCUUCCCCUCUUUCUUGGAGAUAUUAUAAAAAGAUAAGAGCUCCCAGUGCUCAUAUCAUUUCCUCUUGGAUGUAAGUCAUAAAAGAUAUUUACUUGGUGUAAGCAACUGUACCACCUUAUCAUGUUUCAUCGAAAAGUAAUUUAAGUAUCUCCUCAAUGUACCAUAAAAACCCAUGUAAUUUGCACACCUGUGCAAUUUACGCAGGUGAUUUUCAGGAUAAAAUUUGUUAAAAAAGGCUCCUACUCAUGUAAAAUUCACACCCCAAAGUUUUCAGAAUUGCUGAUAUAGCCAGGGGAAAAAGGUUUUCAAUUCAGUUGUAUUUAGCAUAAUUUCACUUACUUAUGACAAGAUUUUAUUAAAUUGUCAUUAAAUAAAAAUAAUUUCUGUUUAACAGGUAUCACAUUGAAAGCUAUUAAAUUACAAAGUGUUUGUGUUGUUUAUAAUAAAGUUUAUUUUACAUUUCUUGCCCACAAGAGAUUAUAUCCGAUCUUUAGCAUACUGCUAUAUGUCUUCUCAAAUCACGAUCACAAGAAAAGUUAAGAAUUACCAACAAAAACAAAGCUGAUGAAUAUGACAGGUGUUGCAAAUUAAGUUUAAUUACCAAUAAACAUCAGCUUGGAUGAUACUUUACUCAACCGACAGAGGUUGAGUAAAGUAUCAUCCAAGUUGAUUAUGUAAACAAAAUUCUUUUCCGCCUAUUCUUGUUGGAACCUUUGAUAUGGAGUAUAGAAAUUUUAAUCCCUUUCACACUUAUAAAAUGUCAAGCAAACUUAAAAAUUUGUCAUUACUGUUAUUGUCAGUAUGGGCAGAACUUAUGAAUUGUUUACUGUGAAGGAGAAAUUAAAUAUGUUGAUUAUGCAUUUGAAUGUGGCAAUAGAGCUGCCGGGAGGUAUUUUAAUGUUAAUGAAGCCAAUGUUCGAAAUUGGAGUAAGCAGUAUGACAAACUUAAAACUGUGCCCAGUAAUAAACAGACAAAAACAAAAACAUACAAUCAAGAUUAUCCAUAUCAUUACAUUUUUUUCAGUCAGGAAUAUCCAUAUCACUAUGUAUGUCAAUGGUGCUCCAUUGCAAUAGGUAGAAACUCCAAGCAAUGGUUCAGACCGUGUUUACCAGCAUGAACAUCAGACUUCAAAAAGUAGUUAACCAUUUAAUGGUUUUAGUAAAUUUAUACAGAGAAAGUAAGCAUUAUACCAUCCAGCAUAAAUAAACAUCAACUUCAUUAUAUUUAAGCCAUUAUUUUUUCUGCAAAAGCUUAUUCAGACAUUAAAUGAGUCAAUUUCUGGUUCAAAUGUUUACGUUUUGUAUGUCUUUUAUUAACAAAAAAAUUUCCCCCAAAAUUCUGGAAACAAUCUACUUAUGUAAUUUACACACCCACUAAAGUUUAUUUCUAUUUUUGCAAAAAAAGUGCAUAAACUACAUGGGUUUUUAUAGUAUAUACAUAACUGUAAAACAUAUGUGACUGUGACAUGUACUGAUCUUAUAUUGGCGAUGUCAUUUUAUAGAUUAACAAUAGAAAGACUGCUGUCUUUUUUUUAUCACCAGCUGACAUCUUUCUCUUUUAAAUGACAAUCAGUAUAAGGUGUCCAAUAAUAUGUAUUAGAGUUCAUCCUAAAUCCUAAGUCACAAAGAAUACAGUUGAAAUACAGUUUUCUCACAGAGUUAGGCAUCUGUUUUCCCCAUGUUGCCCUUCAGGAGGAUUGUAGCUUAAGAAAUUGCAAACUAACUUAACAAAUAUCCAUUAUACAAUGCUCUUAUUAUCAAAAGCAAUUUAAUAAAUUGGACCUUAUCAACAGUCAUGGAUAUUGGCCAGAAACAGUACAAUAUAGUGAA
This is a long non-coding RNA of Octopus bimaculoides (California two-spot octopus), 2667 nucleotides long. The record is from RefSeq and is a predicted model, not a curated record. NCBI's taxonomy places the organism in Eukaryota, Metazoa, Mollusca, Cephalopoda, Octopoda, Octopodidae.